AAAUUUCUGUUAUAUUUUAUUUUUUUAUUUUUUUAUUUUUAUUUAUUUAUUUAUUUAUUUUUUUUUCGUUCUUUCGUUUUUUUUUUGUUUUUUUUUGUUUCUUUUUUAAACACGUGGGCUUCGCCUAACGAGCAUGACAGUUCAAGAAAUUCCUCUGAGCGUAGGUGAUUCUGGUGGCUUUUCUUGGGACUCGCUAGGCGACCAUUCUGCUCGCCUAGCGAGCAUGACAGCUCAUGAACAAACUUUUG
This 248-nucleotide long non-coding RNA is filed under the name Lathyrus oleraceus (garden pea). RNAcentral's name for it is "Pisum sativum (pea) long non-coding RNA (PSAT_LNC024990)". The record is from RNAcentral. Lineage: Eukaryota; Viridiplantae; Streptophyta; Magnoliopsida; Fabales; Fabaceae.